Molecule: ribosomal RNA, 768 nt
Filed under: Triticum aestivum (bread wheat)
Lineage: Eukaryota; Viridiplantae; Streptophyta; Magnoliopsida; Poales; Poaceae
Description: partial small subunit ribosomal RNA
Source: RNAcentral
AUGGAUUGGUGUCUUAUUCUACAGUUUUCAAAGGCUGUAGGGAAGAUCAAAGAUGCCAUCUCAGCCCUGGCAGUGGCAACAGUGGACGAUGAUAACGAUGAAGUCAUGGUGCGAAGCCCUCCUGAAGUUCCUCGAGACGGCUGCUCGGCGCUACAGGAUACCGUGGUGAGUCCUCUGACAGACCUGUGCACGCCCCAUAAAUUCAGUUUGCUGUGGCUUGGUUUUGUCAGGACGCAGACGACCAUCGACAUCCUGGGGCGGCAUGCAUAUGACAGCAUGGGGCGGUUCACGGCCCGGCAGCGGGAGGCGGUGGAGAAGUUGUGGAACUCGAUCAAGGAGCAGCAGAUCCAGCGCAAGCACGGCAAGUCGACGAGCGGGAAGCUGGACGUGAACGCCUUAGAGCGGCUCCAGGAGAAGUCUAUGCAAAAACGCAUGUUGUGUAUGUGCACACUUGUGUACAUCGGUAGCAACAGUACUGCAAUUGCUAUUUUUGCUUUCAAUAUGGCUGCUGCUGUUGCUUCUCAGUAUGGCUGCUGCUAUUGCUUCUCAAUAAUGCUGCUGUUGUUGCUUCUCACUACUGCAGCUGUUUCCCUACUGCUGCUCCUGUCAAAAUUGUUGCUGUUGUUGCUUCUUAGUACUGCUGUUGUUUCCCUACUGCUGCUGCUGCUCCUGUCAAAACUGCUGCUGCUUCCCUCCUGCUGUUCCAAAUUACUGCUACUGCUGUUUAAGUCAAAACUUAAGAGCCUUGUAGCUUUGCUCAACCCCUAA